UCGGCUUAGAGUUUGAUCAUGGCUCAGGACGAACGCUGGCGGCGUGCCUAAUACAUGCAAGUCGAACGAAUUGGUGCUUGCAUCAUUGAGUGGCGAACUGGUGAGUAACACGCGGGAAACCUGCCCAGAAGCGGGGGAUAACACCUGGAAACAGAUGCUAAUACCGCAUAACAACUUGACCGCAUGGUCCGAGUUGAAAGAUGUUCGUAUCACUUUUGGAUGGUCCCGCGGCGUAUUAGCUAGAUGGUGAGGUAACGGCUCACCAUGGCAAUGAUACGUAGCCGACCUGAGAGGGUAAUCGGCCACAUUGGGACUGAGACACGGCCCAAACUCCUACGGGAGGCAGCAGUAGGGAAUCUUCCACAAUGGACGAAAGUCUGAUGGAGCAACGCCGCGUGAGUGAAGAAGGGUUUCGGCUCGUAAAACUCUGUUGUUAAAGAAGAACAUAUCUGAGGUAAUUCAGGUAUUGACGGUAUUUAACCAGAAAGCCACGGCUAACUACGUGCCAGCAGCCGCGGUAAUACGUAUGUGGCAAGCGUUGUCCGGAUUUAUUGGGCGUAAAGCGAGCGCAGCGGUUUUUUAAGUCUGAUGUGAAAGCCUUCGGCUCAACCGAAGAAGUGCAUCGGAAACUGGGAAACUUGAGUGCAGAAGAGA
Molecule: ribosomal RNA, 654 nt
Filed under: uncultured Lactobacillus sp.
Lineage: Bacteria; Bacillati; Bacillota; Bacilli; Lactobacillales; Lactobacillaceae
Description: bacterial SSU rRNA
Rfam family: Bacterial small subunit ribosomal RNA
Source: RNAcentral